This 19023-nucleotide long non-coding RNA is filed under the name Sorghum bicolor (sorghum). Its description in RNAcentral is "long non-coding RNA (SBIC_LNC005637)". The record is from RNAcentral. Lineage: Eukaryota; Viridiplantae; Streptophyta; Magnoliopsida; Poales; Poaceae.
CCAGUUCCUUCCUCCCAAAUAGCUUCGCCUCCCAGGCCUGAGAUUGCAGAUACUGGUGAUUUACUGGUAAGUAUGAAAAUGGUCAUAUGAGUGACAUUAAUGCUUUUACAUUAUAAUCUAAAUGUCAUAUUUCCUCAUAGGGGUUAGGUGAUUCAACCCAUACUGUGUCGGCAAUAGAGGAGAGCAACGCAUUGGCCUUGGCAAUUCUUCCGACAGGUAAUUAAUCAAAUAGUUCUGUUAUUAAUUAUAUCAUUAGUUCUGAGAAGUGUAUGCAUGCAUGCUGCAGGUGUUGAUAAUUCAACAACUACACAGCAAGAUAGAGGAUUUGAUCCAACAGGAUGGGAACUUGCUCUUGUUACUACAAGCAGCAACAUGACUCCACUGUCUAUGGAGAGUAAUUUGGUUCGUUUCUUAAUCUUUCAUUGAGGAAUCUACCUUUCAUUGGUUGCCACAGUUUUUCCAAAUCAAACAUUUUAGAGAUGCUGUGCUGCUAUGUGCUAUGUACUCUUUUUUGUACAACUUUGUUAAGCUCCUGUAGUUCUACUGUCAAGCUUAACUCAUUUACUGGUUGAAAAGUAAAAACCAGUACACUGGUAUGCUGGUUCACUGCAGUUGAAAACUAGUAGCAAUGAGUAGCUAAUUCCUAUUUUAUCAAAGUGCAAUCACAAAGAAAAGUAAAUUUACUAUUUUGUGGUAACUCGUAUGAAUUACUCUCUAGAGCACCUUUUUGAGAAGCUGUAUUUUGCCUCCUUGAUUGCUUGGGCCAAUUGACAGCACCACUUGCCAUCUACGGAGACUCAAUGAGCUUUCUGGAAUUUUGUAGUAUGGAUAAAACUUCCAGAACAUAUAGGAACUGAGAUGCGCCCAAUCUCAAAUGACUGAUGGUUAUUCCCAUCCACAGCCGUUGGAAAAGCUUCUUAUGAAUGUUCAGUUGAUAGUUGACACUUCAGACAAUACUAGAGGAAAUUUGGGAUUCACAACUCUAUUUCUUGUCAUUUCAUGAAUUGCCAGGUGGCAUACAUUGCCUCAUUGACAUUUGUUGUUACUUUUCUACCUCAUGGCAUCAUUACCAUGGUCUGGAAAGGUGUAAAUCAUUGUAUGGCUCAAUUGAUACUUUCUGCUUAUGCAACAGUCGUUUGGAUUUUGAUAGAACUUGACAGCAUUUCUGCUAACUUUAGAACGUUUGCUAGAUUCUGUAGAUGAAACCCUGCCUAUUUACAGGUUGCUCUCCAUUGGUAAUGAAAUAUGUUCUGGAGUACAGUGUGCAGAUUGAUGAACUAUGACUAAACAAUUAAUUUAUUGUGUGGAGUAUUGUUUAGCUUUUCUCAAAACCAAAAUAUGGUCUUUCUGUGUUCCAAAAAAAGAAUGUGGUUUCGGUAUUACCAACGAUUCUAUUUCAGAUCUUAUUGUGAGGUAUAUAACAUGGAGUCUUUUUCUAUUUGUAGGGUGGUGGAUUUGACAAGCUCACAUUGGACAGCCUAUACGAUGAUGGAACCUACAGGCAGAUGCAGCAACAACAGCUAUACGGCUCAGCCCCUCCCAAUCCCUUCAUGGCAAGCGAUCCCUUCGCCGUGUCAAAUCAAGUAGCUCCCCCACCGUCAGUUCAAAUGGCAGCCAUGGCUCCACAGCCCCAGCAUUUGCCCAUGAUGAUUGAAGCAAAUCCCUUCGGACCACCACAGCAGCAUCACGCGGGCAUGGCUCCUGCAGCAAACCCCUUCCUCGAUGCUGGGUUCGGUGCGUUCCCGGCAGGAAAUGGAAUGCAUCCACAGACCAACCCCUUCGGAGGCGCCGCACAACUUCUCUAGGCAUAUACUUUGCAUUACAUAGAAGAUGUGCAAUCUGUAGAUAUCCAUGCAAGACAAGCAAUUGGCGUGUCUGGAACCGCUUUUCACCGUCAGACCGUUACCAAUCCUAUGUUGCACCAUCUUCAUCUCGCCCUUCCUUAUUAGGCCUUGGCCGCUUGGCCUUUCUUGUGUAGCUUUCCGUUUUGCUGUGGCUGGUUUCCAUCUUCUGACUGGGCCAUUGCACCCUCUCAUUGUAAAGAAAUUUGUUUCGGGCUUUCGGCUGAUGUAAAACUACGUGCAAUAAGCAGCAGAGCAGCAGUCCUGGACCCAACUAACUCAUUCUUUGUCAACCGUCAGCGUUUGUAUUUAGCCUUGAUUAGUUUGUGAAAAGAAAAGUUUUUAGCUACUGUAGCAUAUUUGUGACUAGCAAUUAGUGUCUAAUUAUAGACUAAUUAGACUCAAAAGAUUCAUUCAUAAAAUACAUACAAACUAUACAAUUAAUUAUUUUUUUAUCUAUAUUUAAUGCUCCAUGUGUCUAAGCAUUUGAUGAGAUAGGGUGAAAAGUUUUUAGGUAAGAACUAAACAAGACCUUUGUCUAACUUCUAGCGGGGGAUAUUUGUCUUCGGUCGUGCGAAUAUUUCCGCAAUUGGUCCCAAACGGACAAGAAAACUUUCAAUCCAAUUUGCUCUACCUCUCGGUUCCCUCUUAGUGUCUAUUCCUCGGUAAACAGCCCAUGGGAAUUGUACAAUUGCACACAGGACUUUCUGUCAUGAUUUUCCGGUCGAGCGAACAGGUGGGACUUCUCCUAUACCUACACCUAUUGAAAUAUUUAUCGACUUCUUUUCAUCCAUCUUACUAUGUAUAGCAAAAUAGAUAUAUUAUAAAAAUCAACCAACUUAUAAUUUAAAACAGAAAGAAUAAUCAACAAUUAUCAAUUCUAAAUUAUAAGACUUUUUAGUUUUUUUUAAAAAAUUUACACAUAGCUUUUGCUAUGCACUUAAAUACAGAGUAUACACUAAAGUCUAGAUAUAUAGUAAAACUAAUAUAUAGAGAAAAACUAAAAUGUCUUAUAAUUUGAAAUGGAUCGGAGCAUGAAGUAGGGUCAAGUUGAAGACUUGAAGACCACGAUUCAUUUUAUUCGAAGUAAAUAAUCUAUGGCACACAUUUACAGCCAAAUAGAUAAUGUAUCCUAUGAACAGUGACGUUGUAUAUACCAACAAAAGAGAUAGGGUAUCUAUACCUACUAUAUAAUUUAUUUAUAAACGCCAUGCGAAUGGGGUGGCGGUUAAAAAAGCUUUGCCACGGAAUCCGGCGAGGUCCGGCAAUAAUUGCAAUUAUUAUGGAAAUGGAAAAGGACGCCGGCGCAGUGCAGCAUCCACUCACAGCGGGAGAGGGGACCGGUCCUCCUCACGGUUGAUCGCGCCAUCGCGGUCGGCUCCAUUCCACUGGCCCUCGCGUCCCACAGUCCCACUCGCCGUCGCCACGGUUCUCGCCGCCUCGCAUUCUAAAUACCACCCCUCGCCAUGAUUCGGCGGUUCUGAAUGCAGCAGCGCGGGCUCUCCUGUAACCGCCGCGCCCGGAGCUUCUCCCGAGCCCGCGUCGCCGUCGAGGGCUGUUAACCUCGCAACACCCCUCCCCAAGCAAUCAACAAACGAACGCGCGGGCACGCUGUGAUGGCCGCCGCCGCCGCCGCCGCUGUGAAUGGUAAGCGAUCGGCCCGUUGCGCGCUCAUUUCGCGUUUGAAUUGGUUUGAGAUAACUGUCGAGCACAUGGCGUGCAGGUUUCGUAUGAGGAUUGAGGCCUGGCGUUGACUGUGGGGACUGGGGACUGAUGGAUUCUGGCUGUGUGUGUUGUUGCAGGGAGCCUAGACGUGCAUGAGAGGAAGGCGCAGAGGAGCUACUGGGAGGAGCACUCUGGGGAGCUCACCCUCGAGGCCAUGAUGCUUGACUCCCGAGCCGCCGAACUCGACAAGGAGGAGCGCCCCGAGGUGAUUUAUCCCGCGACGAUAUUCUUCACUCGGUUUUUUUAAAAUUUUGGUUCGUAUGUUUGUGAUGCAUCUACUUGAACCUGAGGAUAUGAUAAUGCUCCUUUUGUGAUGCAUCUGUUUGUGAUUGUAGCCUUGUAGGAUUAAAACUUUGAUAUAUUAGUGCUUCUUUUUUUUUGUAGGUUCUGUCUUUACUUCCUUCUUAUGAAGGAAAAUCUGUACUGGAACUGGGAGCCGGAAUAGGUCGCUUUACUGGUGAACUGGCUAAGACAUCUGGGCAUGUUUUUGCAGUGGAUUUCAUUGAAAGUGCCAUUAAAAAGGUAAUGAGAUUUACACUUUCCCCUGAUGUAAAUAUUUUCAGGCUUGGUAGCUGAAAUUUGAUCGUUUUGUAGAAUGAAAGUACAAAUGGUCACUACGACAACACAUCAUUUAUGUGUGCUGAUGUUACAUCCCCGAACCUGAUGAUUGAAGCAAACUCCAUUGAUCUGAUAUUUUCAAACUGGUUGCUGAUGUAUCUUUCAGAUGAGGAGGUAAUGAUCAAACCAUACAUUAGAAUCAUAAACUGAUUCAAGGUCUAUUGCUAAAGAAAAAACUCAAAUCAACUUCUCGUGUGGAUAAGGUUACAUUUAUCAUUUGACCUGAAUUGGGAUAUGUUUGUCCUUCCAAUUUUUCUGACUGUCUCUCUUACUGUAGAUUGACAAGUUGGUAGAAAGAAUGGUAAAAUGGCUGAAGGUCGGUGGCUAUAUCUUCUUUAGGGAAUCUUGCUUCCAUCAAUCUGGAGAUUUAGAAAGGAAAGUUAACCCGACACACUAUCGAGAACCAAGGUUUUAUACCAAAGUGAGAAUGCAAACUUGCCUAGUGUCGUCCCCUUUUGCUUUUAUGAUUUCAGUCAAUUCAAAGUUUUUUUGUUCUUGCCCACUCCACUCUUUAGUUUUCUUAGUUGAGUACCAGCUUUCUUUGAAAUAGCUGAUAAUAUCUUUUCCCAUCUAGGUAUUUAAAGAGUGCCAAACCUUUAAUCAGGAUGGCACUUCCUUCAAACUUUCUCUGGUUACUUUCAAAUGCAUUGGAGCUUAUGUAAACAUCAAGAAAGAUCAAAACCAGGUACUUCUCUGUCCUCGCACAUGCACAUAGACAUGUGUUUCCAUUCCUGUGAAAUUAGUGAUGAACACGACUCCAUUGCUUCCAGAUAUGUUGGUUAUGGCAAAAAGUAAAUUCAUUAGAAGAUGGGGGAUUUCAAAGUUUUUUAGACAAUGUGCAGUACAAAGCCACUGGAAUAUUGCGCUAUGAACGUAUCUUUGGAGAUGGUUACGUGAGCACUGGUGGAGUUGGUGAGAGGACACAUCCCUUUUUGUCAUUUUUUGUGAUAUCAUAUUUGCAGUGCCAUUAAAUGUUAUUAUGUAUCACUAUCCACCAGAGACUACAAAAGAAUUUGUGGAUAAACUGGAUCUUAAGCCUGGACAGAAGGUGCUUGAUGUUGGUUGUGGAAUUGGGGGAGGUGAUUUUUACAUGGCUGAGAAGUAUGGUACCCAUGUUGUUGGUAUUGACCUUUCCAUUAACAUGAUAUUGUUUGCCCUUGAGCGUUCCAUUGGGCGUAAGUGCUCAGUUGAGUUUGAAGUCGCUGAUUGCACCACUAAGACGUACCCAGACCACAUGUUUGAUGUCAUCUACAGCCGUGACACUAUCCUUCAUAUACAAGUACGAUUUACACUUAAUGCAUGCAGUCUUUUUAUUCCGAGAUGUUAGAGCUACAUUUUGAUCAUGGAAAGUAUCUUCAUUUGGAGAUGUACUUAGAAACUCUGUCUUUUUUUUGGCUUAAAACAUCACAUGUUCAUGGCAUACCUAUAGUUGACUCUUUGACACUUUUUUUGCUUUUGACUCUGCAGGAUAAACCCUCCUUGUUCAAAAGUUUCUUCAAAUGGCUAAAACCUGGGGGAAAGGUCCUAAUCAGUGACUACUGCAAGAGUCCUGGGAAACCAUCAGAAGAGUUUGCAGCAUACAUUAAGCAGAGGGGUUAUGAUCUCCAUGAUGUAGAGGCUUAUGGACAGGUGGUUCUUAGGUCUUACCUUAUCUUAUUUUUGUUUGCAUGGUUAAUGCUUAACACAAUUGCUUUGAUCUAAAAGUAUAAUUCCGUUUGAUGAGUAAUAAACCUCUGUCAAAUUAUCCAGAUGCUCAAGAAUGCUGGUUUCAGUCAUGUCAUUGCUGAAGACCGAACUGACCAGGUCUGCCCAUCUAAACAUGCGCAAUCUGCAUGUUCAUAUUCUUGUGAUCUUGUCUACUAAGAUGCUUGGAUAAACAGUUUUAAUGACACACUAUGUGUUGUGUUUCAGUUCCUCAGUGUUUUACAGAAGGAGCUAGAUAAAUUUGAGAAGAACAAAGAUGAUUUCCUGUCCGAGUUUGCCCAGGUGAUUCGACAAAGCCCCUAAGAAGUUCAACGAUGAAAACUCGUAGCAAAAAUGAAAAUAUGAAAAGUUCAGCAAUGAACUGGCCGGCUCUCUUUAGAAGCCUGCAUUCUUUCUCUGUUGCUCUAAAUCAUAUCUAAAUCUUUGUUUCAUUUGUUAUCAGGGGGAUUACGAUGAUAUCGUGAAUGGAUGGAAAGCAAAACUGCAGAGGACCUCUGCUCGUGAGCAGAGGUGGGGGCUGUUCGUCGCCACCAAGUGAACGGUGAUGCCCAUGUGGCCUUACAAAUAAAAUGGCUUUCGCAGUUCACCGAUGGGAUUGACUUCAUAGCGUGAUUUUGCAUUAUUGAACUCUGAGAGCCUAUCCUAUUUCUUUGUGCUUUGGGACUGGUUUAACUUUACGGUCCUGUGAUCGCACUGAAACAUAGAGCGUGCUGUACUGAUGCCACCUUUCUGUGGAAGUGUAAUAAGCUCCACGCAUGGCUCGGCAUGCGGCUACAUGGAUGAUAUAUGCACAUGAAAUUUGGUAUUUCCAAAAGGAUUUUAAAAAUGAUUUUGCAUCUUGACCAAAGUGCAUAUAUAGAAGCAUUGAAGAUGUGCAUCAUUUUAAAUUUUUUCAAACUUAUGACUACGUGUUUCAAUAGAAUUAUUAUCACGAUUUUACCGAAACAAGAGAUUCACGCUGAAUAUUUACCCACCAUAUAUAUGUUUGUGCCAUAGUUCUUUUCUUCAUUUCAAGAUAAUGCUUCCUCUGUUUCAAAUUAUAAGUCACUUUGAAUUUUUGGAUCUAUGUUUAGAUAUAUAGCAAAGUGAAUAUAUCAAAAAAGUUAAAGCGAUUUAUAAUUUAGAACUAGUUUCUUGCCAAAUUAGCUGUAAGCGAAUUCCAGUGCUUCAAAAUAAGGGCAAAUUGUUUGCUAAGUCUGUCCAAAUUCAGCUAAAUUUUGGUAGGAAAAUGAAAGCCCCCCCGCAGAUCCCGAGGUGGAUCCAAAGCAUCCGGCCAAAGGACUUCCUUUUGUCCUCCACGCUUCUAUGUACACGUAUACAAGCAUACGGCUCAGUUUCAAAAAAAAAAAAAACAAGCAUACGGCUACUGCUUGAUAAUAAUUUCCCUCAGAGGACAGAUCAUGUCUUUUAUGGUCAGGGCUCUCAGUUUGUAAAUUUAAAUUCGAUUCUCCCUGUCUCUUCAGCGUGCACACGUGGGCUGCGGGCGGGGUGCUACUCAUCCAACGACGUGGUGACGAAUUUUCUAGGCACUGAUCGUGGCUCGUGAGGUGGAUUUCGCUUAGGCAGAUAGCUAGGCACACGUACGUGAAAGGCUCUCCUGCUGCCAUUGGUGCCAUUAGAUUAUGGUGAUGCACGCUAAUGGAUAGUAAAUAGUGCCAAACUGAGAAAACAAAGACAAGUAAAUAAAUAUUUUCUCUACAUAAAGCACUAGCUAAGAAAAAUAGUACCAAACUGAUGAACACAUGGCUGAUAUAAGCUAUCAUUCAUGUUAGUUUUGUUGAAACUUAUUGCAAGGUAACAACUAAAUUUCUUUGCAACUUGGUUCAUGUCAGUCUUCUGAAUUUAUACUCCCUUUGUUAAGUAAAUCCCCAUAUAAUUAAUCCCUAAAAAACUUCAACUCUACAAAAUCCUAUUUAAAAUUUCAAAAUGGUUUACUUUGUAGAAAAUUAUAAAUAAAAUAGAAUGUGGUCUCGAAAUCAAAAAAGAAUCUCUAUUGUAAAAUUUUGAACUACAAAUUCCUUAGUUAACAAAUUAGCCAAGAGUCAUCCAUGGAUUCAAAAAAAUACAAAAUAUGUCACUAUCUAGAUGAAUAUAAUGCAUUAUAUUGUAUUUCCAACUAACUACCAAGUGUUAUAUUAUAUCAUUGUUAAGCAAAUUCAAAACACUUUUUAUUCUUCUUAACUUAUAGGAAUAGAGAUUUUGGAGAAGAAAAUACCCUCAAAGAGUCUCUUUAAAUGGAUUUUCAAAUAUAGACAUCCUUUAUUUUGGAUUUCUCGCUAGCUAAAGAUGGAGAGUGAGAAUGACUCUCUAGAUUUAUUUUGUUGCUAAACUUUUUCUGAGUGUGGCUUCGAUUUUAUUCACCAUGCUUUUUGUAACAGACACAAUUUACAUAAGGUUAGGCAUGACAAACUUAAGCAACAAUCAAACCAGCUUUGAAUCGUCAAAGAGAUAGCCUAAAGGACUGCUUAAAAUCCCUUACAACUAAUAGUAUUUUUUUUGGAAACUUUCACUUCAUUCAUUAAGGCCUUGUUUAGUUCGCUAAAAUUUUCAAGAUUCCCGUCACAUCGAAUCUUUGGUCGCGUGCAUGAAGUAUUAAAUAUAGACGAAAAUAAAAACUAAUUGCAUAGUUUACCUGUAAUUUGUGAGAUGAAUCUUUUGAGGCUAGUUACUCCGUGAUUGGACAAUGUUUGUCAAAUAAAAACGAAAGUACUACAGUAGCCAAAAACCAAAUUUUUUGGGAACUAAACAAGGCCUAAACAGUGUUGUUACAAUCGGAUUGCAGACAAUUCUGUAGGAAGCUAAAAGGAUAUAACCAAACAUAAUUAUCUAAAAAAGAAGAUGAAUGUUGGGCACACAAGUGAGCUGUAAAAUUCAUCAAUCUUCUAGUGUGGAUGACCUGGAAGGAUGUAAAGCUAUAGGUCAUCUGCUCAACGGCGUCUAGGAUUGCAGUGAUCUUGGACGAGUGCUUCCUUCUGUUGUUCCACAGAGAAACCAGCUUUUGAGAAUUCGUCUCUACAUUGAUGCACUCCUUAGUAUGUGUUUGGUACGAGUCGUGCGCCAUCCUCAAAGUGCUUCUGCUUCUACCAAGAGGGCAGACCCCAGUGAUUCCAACCAUCGAGCCAAUACCGGAAGGAAAAUUUUCCACUAUUGGCUCGCAGAACCGCCCCUGUUGCACCCAUACUAGACUGUUGCACCCAUACUAGACUCUUGAGAAAACGUCCCAUCAAUGUUGAUCUCGAGGGUUUUCUCCUUUGGCAUUCGUCACUGCAUAUUUGGCACCAACACUCGCUCCUCGCUAUCUUGCUGGUUAUAGCCUGACAACUGACAGCAGGUCUUCAUCGCUCAUUCCAUUGCUGUAACUAGGUUGAUCAUCGUUUUACUAUACCAACUUCGCAGCUAAUGUCUUACCUACCAUCCAGCUAACAAUUAACUAUCACGAUUAAUUGUUAGCUAGGACUGGGAGGACAAGUGGCUCAACGAGUGCCACAGAUCAGCCAAAACGACAAAAAGAGAGGAAAAGAAAAAACCUCGCCGAUCCAGCAUGCACGCUGCGAGUGGCCCCACCAGGCACAGAUCUCACGGUCGAUCGGGUCUCCCGGCUCCCGGUUCCCGCCUAUAAAUGGCACCACCUAACCUUCGCUCCCUUCCAGGAUCCCGUUCCCAGUCGCAAGCCACUGGCCACAGCCACCGUCUCCCUCCUCCCCCAACCUCGCCGCGAUCAGGUGGUGGAUGCAGCAGCGCGGCCGCUCCUUCAACCGCCGCUCCCGGAGCUUCUCCCGCGCCCGCCUCGCCAUCGAGGGAUCUUAAUCUCACAGCCAUCCCUCGCUCGUUUCGUUUGAACUCGGUUCUGAAUUCCUGACUGACGAACGGACGAACGCACGCAACGAGUUACCGUGAUGAACGCCCCCACCGCCGCCGUUGUUUCUGUUAACGGUAAGCUAUUGCACUCCCACGCGUCGAUCCGUGCAGAGGGGAUCAGAUCUGCUCGUUGCGUCUUCGUGUUGUUGGGUUGGAUGGGGAGAAGUGUCGAGCACAUGGUGUGUGCGGUUUGCUUCCUUCGUGUUGAUGAUUUGUUUGCGGGGCGUUGCAGGGAAGAUGGGGGUUGAGGAGAGGCAGGCGCAGAAGAGCUACUGGGAGGAGCAUUCCAGGAACCUCACCGUCGAGGCCAUGAUGCUGGACUCCCGCGCUGCCGAUCUCGACAAGGAGGAGCGCCCCGAGGUGAUUGUUUCCGCGAUGAUGUUUUUCCCGUAUUAUCCAUUCCAUUGUUUGUUAUAAACUGUUAGUAUACCUUGUUUAGUGCCUUUUGGGAUCCAUCUGCUUGGAUCUGGGCUGGGCAGUAUGUGUCAGCCACACUCAACUUUUGCUCCGCAGUAUCACAUGGCUAUCUGUUAAGGGACACGUGUGUGGAAAUAAAGGGGGAUGCACUGGCCUGAUGUGAGAGGAUUACGUUGAUAGAUUUUUUUUGUUUCUUUUUCUUUUUUCUUUAAAGAGUGAAAAGUGAACUUGAACAAGAAAAUAGCCUGCUCACUUGAGGUUGUGACAGGUCUUUUAAUUUGUGAUGUGAAGUAUAACUAAUUUCUUAGCUAAACUCUAACAAACAAGGUAAAUGUUCUUUUUUUUUGAGUAUCUGAAUUUUGCUAGGACUUUUACUCUGAUGUAGUAAACUAUACAGGUACUUAUUAUGACUUGCACUGAUUAUUUUCCACGUUCUAGACUAGUAGACUGUUAAAGGGAUAUAUAAAAAAUCUGUCAUAAAGGCUAAUUUACACCAUGAUUUUAUUUAUUGUGUUUUAUGAUUAAUAUCUUGAUUUCCUUGUAGUUUGUAUCUUUAAGUGUUUUCGAAAGAAACUCAUAUUUGUUUGAUGCUUUUCUGUAAGCAUGUGUUGAUCCAUUUCAUGUUCUGACUAUGGUAAUUCUUAGUUUAAUUAACAUCUGCAAAGAAAAAAUAGGAAUUGAAAAUCAAAGCUUGCAUUUAUUAAUUAUUUGACUUAAAAAUUGAACCAGUUCUAUUUUAUUUCCAAGAACUGGGACAUAAUUAUGCUAUGCCCGCUGGUUGCUUGAAAUGAUAAUAAUUUUUUAUUUAGCAGGCAACAUUUUGACUUAUAAGAGAAGGUGUUGCUGAACGCACCUUGGCUUUUAGGGCUAAACAUUUUGAUAUGCUUCUGGUCCUUUUCUGUAGGUCCUGUCUUUGCUUCCCUCAUUCGAAGGAAAAUCUGUACUGGAGCUUGGUGCUGGAAUAGGCCGUUUCACUGGAGAACUCGCUAAAACAGCUGGGAAUGUUCUUGCUUUGGAUUUUAUUGAAAGUGCAAUUAAAAAGGUAUUGAAAUUUGCAAUGUCUUGAUAUAAAAGUUUUGUGCUUGCCAGCUUGAAAUAUGAUGGCCUUCAUCUGAUUUCUAUAUGUGUGUAUGGUUGUAUCAUUCAAUUCUUUUAUGCAAUUUUUUUCUUGCAGAAUGAAAGCAUUAAUGGUCACUACAAGAAUGCAUCCUUUAUGUGUGCUGAUGUGACAUCCGAGGACCUGGUGCUUCCAGCUAGCUCCAUCGAUCUGAUAUUUUCAAAUUGGUUAUUGAUGUAUCUUUCAGAUGAAGAGGUAAUGGAUGAGACAUGCUUUGAAUAAGUAACAAAUUCUAAUUCCAUAGUAUUUCCUUGAUCUUCUUGCUGAGAUUGUCCUUGUAAAAUGGAUCUGUUCAUAAAAAUUCUGAAGGGCACCUGUUUUCUAAAUGACUUAAAAUUGUUGUUCGAAUGUGCUGACUGAAAUAUAUUUUAAGUUUCUGGCUCUUGAACUUUCCAACUUUCGUCUCUUAAUGUAGGUUGAGCAGCUAGUUCAAAGAAUGGUAAAAUGGUUGAAGAUUGGUGGCUAUAUCUUCUUUAGGGAAUCUUGCUUCCAUCAAUCUGGAGAUUCAAAAAGGAAAGUUAAUCCGACACACUAUCGGGAACCGAGUUUUUAUACUAAGGUGAGAAAGCAUACUGUCCUACUGCUCUUCUCCAUUGCUUUUCACAAUCAGACAUUCAGGCUUGUGAGUAAAAAUUUCAACUAUUAUAUGAAGGACUGUUGCUUCCCUCUUUAUUUUUCUUAUUAGUUUCAAUACCAUUUUUUUGUAAUAACUAAUUGAUUGUUUAUUCCAUAAAUAGGUUUUCAAAGAGUGCCAUACCUUUGAUCAAGAUGGGAAUUCCUUCGAACUUUCUCUGGUUACUUGCAAGUGUAUUGGUGCUUAUGUUAAAAACAAGAAAAACCAAAACCAGGUACUUUUGUUUGUCCAUGCAUAUACACGUGUUAACCAUGGUCAACUGAGGUCAUUGAUGGAUAUGUCUCUAUGGUUUAUAGAUAUGUUGGCUAUGGCAAAAGGUUCAGUCUACAGAAGACAAGGGAUUUCAAAGAUUUUUGGACAAUGUGCAGUACAAAACUAGCGGAAUAUUACGUUACGAGCGCAUCUUUGGAGAAGGUUAUGUGAGCACUGGUGGAAUUGGUGAGUGCUGCAAUCCCUUUUAAUUUUAACUUGUGAUAUUCUAUUUGCAUUGUGCCCUUAAAUGCUGUUAUGUAUCAUUGUCCAACAGAGACUACAAAAGAAUUUGUGGAUAAGCUGGAUCUUAAACCUGGACAUAAGGUGCUUGAUGUUGGAUGUGGAAUUGGAGGAGGUGACUUUUAUAUGGCUGAAAAUUAUGAUGCUCAUGUUGUUGGUAUUGAUCUUUCCAUAAACAUGGUAUCAUUUGCACUUGAGCGUGCCAUUGGCCGCAGUUGCUCAGUUGAGUUUGAAGUUGCUGAUUGCACCACAAAGACAUACCCAGAAAACACAUUUGAUGUCAUAUACAGCCGUGAUACUAUCCUUCAUAUACAAGUAUGUUUCAAAUAUAUCCUGUUCCAGAUGUAUACUUUUUUCAGUGCAUCUUAAAGUUCUAAAUUAUAUGAAAUGAUACUUGUGACAUAUUUGUUUUCUUAAUCACAGACCCAACAUUAAAUGCUGCACGCGGUUUUGUUCAGAGUAACAUUGUUUAAGCUGACAUGAUUUUGCUUUUGUUUUGCAGGACAAACCCUCUUUGUUCAAAAGUUUCUUCAAAUGGCUGAAGCCUGGGGGCAAGGUCCUUAUCAGCGACUACUGCAGGAGUCCUGGGAAACCAUCAGAGGAAUUUGCAGCGUACAUCAAGCAGAGAGGUUAUGACCUACAUGAUGUGGAGGCUUAUGGACAGGUGCUUCUUACUUGCAUUUUUAUAUGUCUAUACUAGAUACAGUUACUUUGAUCAAAAUGCAGCACUGACUCUUGCUUGUUCGUCAUAUUAUCCAGAUGCUGAAGAGUGCUGGUUUUCGUGAUGUCAUUGCUGAGGAUCGAACUGAUCAGGUUUCUUUGUAACUAGCAUUUCCACUAAGAUGUUUGGUUGAAACACAAGUUUCUACUAUACUAAUCCAUGCUCUGUGUUGCAUUUCAGUUCCUUGGUGUUUUAGAGAAGGAAUUAGCUAAAUUUGAAAAGAACAAGGAUGAUUUCCUGUCUGACUUCACCCAGGUGAUUCAACAGAAGCCCUUAAGAACUCCAAAAUCAUGGACUCGCCCUUAAGAACACCCUAGCUUUUCUCUGUGGCUUUGACAUCUCUAACUCUGAAGUUCACUUAUAUUCCAGGAGGACUACGAUGAUAUUGUGAAUGGUUGGAAGGCAAAACUGCAGAGGAGUUCUGCUGGUGAGCAGAGGUGGGGGCUGUUCAUCGCCACCAAAUGAUGAUGCAGAUGUGCGUGGACGUGCAAGUGCAAAUAAAGCAUCCUUUUAUUAUAAUUGUUGUCGCCUUAGUUCUUCUGAAUCCAGGUGUUACCUGUUAGCCUGGGUUAGUACCUACUAUCCUGUUUAUUUAGUGCGUGGAGAAAACUCGUCCAGUUUUACAAUCCCGUGACUGCAUUGCCUGAGUGCUGUGGUAAUCCAUGAAUGAAGUCUAAAAAAGCAACAUAAGCUGUCUGCAUGUUUUAGUAUGUGGUCUUUUGAGUUAUGUGCUAUACUUAUGUAAAAUGCUGAAAUUUGGCUUAUGCUCCUGCUUAUACUGAUUUGUUGUAAAAGAAGAAAAACAUUAUUCGUUGGUUAAAAAGUAUUGUUGAACUUGUGGUGACGAAGAGAGCUUCAAUUUCUUAUUAAACAAAGCAUCAAGGUAGUGAAAUGCAGUGCGGCCUCGCUUUUGGAACCGAAGCGCAUGACUGAUCUCUUGUGCUGCUUGGUGGAAGCUAAGACAUUGGCAUGUGGAAGUACAUUUUAAUAUUUUAUUUUAUUUUCGCAAGGCCAAACACACGCGGAACAACCAGGCGACAGCUUGUUCCCGGCUGAACAUCGUCUGUGGCAGGCAUCUAGCGACUAGCCUGCGCAGAUUGUCACCUCACCACCACCUGCUUCACGUUUGCUUUCGCAUGUCGAGUAGAGGAAGCGGUUGAAUCCGCGGUCUGUUUCGUGAGCACCGAACUGACCAAUAUGGGUGACGACCAGCGAGUGGGGUGGACGUGGACAAGGCCCAGCGACAGGUGGCCUGGCCGAAGCGGCAAGCCAACGCGCGGAGCCUGAGCGACGACUUGAGAGGCUUGAGAGUACCAAGCGCAAGUCUGCGAGUGUGACGGCAUGUGCCGGGCAAAACCGCAGCCGAUCUUUUCUUUCCCUUUUCCUUCCUUUCCUUCACGGCCGCACUCGGCUGUUUAUUCAUCAGGUAGAGAGCCAUGGUAAUGGUAGGCGUAUAACCCACAGAUGCUCCAUCGUCAAUCAGCGUGCUCUGUCCUCCAGUUUGAUGGUUUCACCGCUGUAAAAGGACAUAUUACCCCGUUGAAGUUCUCUUCGUCGUCUCCCCAUCUAAUUCUUUAAUUAACCACAAGAGAUUCGAUGGCGAAGAUCGUUAUUUUUACUCCGAGUUCCACAUGCUAGGCCGACCAAACGGUGAGAUCCACGCUUGCACAUGCCCGCGGUUGUUUUAUCGUAGUAGUUUGCUGUAUAAAUUUGUAAGGUAGUACCGUAGUAGAAAGUCUCUGUUGCCACGAACAUCCUCUCGAAAGGAGCCUUGAGAGAGUACAAUAACAUACUGAAUUAUUGAUUCCUUCAUUCUUCACGUCGCAUAUCACGGCGAAAUCUAGAAAAGCAGGUCACGACGAAGGCAUAUGAUGAGCCCAAGCCAAAAAAAGCCCUCAGAAAUCACGAAGCGCGUCGACGGGGCCUAUGAUUGAUUCCUCCUCGAACCCCUUGGAUCAAUCAAAAAGUAGAUAAAAAAACAGAAAAGCUAUUGAACAAACGGUUGUUUUGGCGUGUUGCAGCAUCCGUUUUUUGGGCCGUUUGAUCUGGUUCGAUCGAUGUGUUUUGGGCCUUCUGAUAUUUUUUCCGUUUGUUUGGUCUGUCCUUGUUGGAUAUGUGAUGCUGACAUGUGGGGUCCAGUUGUCGGCGCCGCACUGUUUAAUUUUUUGGGAGUCGCGCUCAUUUAUUCGCUGUCGUUUCCCCUUUCCCCAUUUCGCUUCGUCUUCUUCCUGGCGAUUUGGCUCUCUCCGCCAUUGGCGACUCCUAGGGUUUGGAGAGGUAUGCUUAUUGUGCUUCAUUUCCUCAAGUUUUUGUCCAGCGAUUUCGAUAUCUGUUGUUUGUCGUUCAUCUGUGCGGCUCGGCGUUCUUCUCUAUUUACUCUGUUUUUUGCGAUUCUCUCCGAUCGAGCGCGAGUGCGCUGCGCGGACGGCCAACGGCCCGCUGCUUGCUGCACUACGGUCAGUCGCCCAGUCAGGCAGGCCAUGCGCCACUCCGUGUGGUGCGCCGUGCGCAUGGCUCACGGCGGCAGAUCUGGUCGCAGGCUCGCAGCGGCCGGGGACCAGGUCCCAGGAAGUUCGGUACGCCUCGGUCCACUGUGGAGCCUGUGCAUGGCGAGGAGCGCUGCUCUGGUGACGGUGACUAGACGAGUAGGAGGCGGACGGGAGUAAUUAUGGGGACAGGACGUUGUGCUUUUUUUUCUUUUUUUUUAUAAUAUAUAAUGACGCUGCACUUUUGGAAUCAUCGUGAACUAUUAUGGUUCUUUUAUUUUGUUUUGCCAAAUGUUAAUUGAGCAUGUAGAGUUGUGGAUAUGAUUUUAAUAUGUUUUAUGUAUGAAAUGAAUUGUAGGUUUUUUUUAUACCUGGCUGUUUUGUAUAUCAAUUAUGCUCUUUUAGUAUGCAUUGUGCAGUUUUAAUGUUUUUUUGGAAGUUAUGACAUGUGUAAUCUUUAGUAAAUUUAUAGUAGCGUAUUUUUGUAUCAAUAUUUUUCGUGAUUCUUACUGUUGUAUAGUACUUUUGGUGUAUACUUUGUUAGUUAAAGGUAUUUAUAGUUGCAUGACCUAUGUUUUUUGUUAGCUGAUAUUGUGAUAUUACUGUUUUUACAUGCUAGUAGUCAAUGUAAUUUUUUUCUUAUUUUACUGUAAUUUUAGUAUUUGAUUGUUAUAAGUAAAUAGGGGUACACCUUUUGAAUUGUGGUUAGGUCUUGAACUUUUUGCAAUGAAAGGCAGCUGACAUGUGUUUUUUUCCAUAAUUUUUAGAUGGUUCGAAAAAGGCCUCGUGGUGUUGUUGAUAUAUCUAGUCCUGAUAUUUCUGAGAAUGAAGAUUUGAAUGAUGUGCAGUGUUCUCAACCAAAUUUUAUGGAUUAUGAUUCAUUUCAGACUUCUUCGGAUGCUAUGGAUGUUUCUGAUGUUAGUGUUCUAUUUGUAUUUCUUUUUUUAGAUGUAUAUGUAUACUAUUUUAAAAACUUACUUCUAUUUAUGUUGCUUGCAGGGUGAUUCUUCUAGUGAUAAUUCAAGUUUUGAUCGACAUCUGUAUGAGAACUGUUUGAAGGAUGUAUGGUUUUUUUUCCUUCCGUUUUUUCCUUUGUAGUUAUAUUUUAGUGCUUUUAUUUACUAAAUUAAUUUAUUCUUUGUUCAGUAUGAAAAGGUUAGAAUUAUGAAGAGAAGGCUAAAAAUGGCAUUGAGGCAUAAGGUUAGUAUCUGUUCUUUUUAUUUAUGUUUGUGCAUUUUAGGUUACAUUCAUUUCUUGUUUUCUAAAUUUUAUGAAUAAAAUUGUAGGCUAAGAAGGUGAAAUCUGUAAAGAAGUCUAAGGCUGGUUUCACAAGGUUUUCUGCCACAGCUUUUAUGAAUGUAAUCUCCUCUUUGUCUCCUGAGAAGAAGGAUGUUAUUGCUAGCUAUGGUUUUGGUUCAUUGUUGCUGUUUGAUAAAUGCUUUGUGCCCAAUAGUUUGGCUAAGUGGGUUGCAAAUUUGGUGGAUUCCAAGUCUGGUGAUAUAGUUCAUGAUGGAAAGGUAAUCUCAUUGACUGAAGAAUCUGUUCAUCUGGUUCUUGAUCUUCCUAUUGGUACAAGGCCUUUCCCUUCUGAUCCUAGUGUUGGCAAGGAUUUUAUUUUAUCAAAGUUUGGGAAGUCUAAGAUUCCGCCGGUAUCUUUCUUUGCUGAUAAAUUGAUCAAGAAGGAUGAUUUGUCAGAUGAGGAUGUGUUUAUCUGUUUCAUGAUAGUUGCUUUGAGCAGUUUCUUGUGCCCCAAUACGAACACCAUUCCCAGUCCAAAGUACUUUGGUAUAUUUGAAGAUGUUGAUCACAUUAAGGAUUUCAAGUGGUGUGCUUAUGUGCUUCAGUGGUUACUUGAGCAUGUGAAGGCAUUCAAUGGUGGUAAAGAUGCUAAAGCAAAGCGUUGUUUGGGUCUUGGUGGCUGUUUGUAUUACCUUGCGGUAAGUUUAGUUUUUGCAACUAUAAAUAUGGUUUCUGUAUUUUAUUGUUUUGAAUAUUUUUUAUCUAAUUCUGCAUUAUAUAUUUUGUUCAUGGUUUGGUUAUGGCUUUUUAACUUAUAAGUUGUCUGGUCAUUUAUUUCUAGGUUGUUUGUAUUUAGUAAUUGAUUUUAUAUUUUUUGUUGUUAUUUGUUGCUUGUUUUAAUAGUUCUUCACUGUAAUAUAAUUGUUUAAUUUUUUUUAAGGUUGUUUACCUGGAUCAUAUUGAUUUCGGUCAGAGGCAACUUGUAGAUUCUAUUCCUCGAAUAUGUGUGUGGAAGGGUGAUUUGAUUAAGUUUUAUGCUAAUCUUGAUAUCAAAUCCCCUGGUGUUUAUGGUUACAGACCUUUGCUUCCCUUUGACAACACAUGCUACUACAAGGUGAGAUUUAUUAUUUGUAUUCUUUUUAUUUUUGAUUUUAUAUCUAAUCCAUGUAGUAUUUGACUAUGAAUUUUUAUUUUAUUUUUGUCAGUGUGCUCGUCUUAAGACUGUGGCUUGUGCUGAUGACCUUGAUACUGUUUUUUGUGAUAAAAUGGAAAUUGUUUCUGGUUGCAAGCUGCCUUUAUCUUUAAAGUUGAAGAUAUCUCAGUUGGUUGACAAGCAUUCUUUUAAUUGUGGUGGCACUGUCAGUCUGGAUAUCAAUUCCCUAGGGAAUGUAUCUAAAGAGUUCCAAGAUAUGUUUGCAAAGUUGAUGCGGCAUGUGUAUCUUGUCCUGUACUUGUUGCUUGCUUUGAUGUUGAAUCAUCUCUCUGUUUUCAAUACCUGAUGUGUGAUGUAACAUGUUUGUAUCAUAUGUACAUAUUCAUUUUGAAUUUUUCGUACCUGGAAGUUGUACAUCAAACUGAAGGAGUCCUGCCAUUGGUUUAUUGGAGUCAUUGUACUUGUUGUCCCAAAUGGAUAUGUUGUAAGGUAGCUGAAUUGUCCCUGUAAUUUCUUUAAUGGUUAUACAAAUUUAAUGUAGUAUAUUGAAUUGCUAUUAUAGUUAGGUUUGUUAGUUACCUCAUUCAGAUUUCCUCCCAAGUAUGUUGUUGGUAAUUUGGCUCUGUCUGUAGCUUCCUGUAAUUAUCAAAUAAGAAUUUGAUGUAGUAUUUUCAAUUGUUAUUUUCAUUAGGUUUGUUAGUUACCUCAUUCAGGUUUCCUUCCAAAUAUGUUGCUGGUAAUUUGCCUCUGUCUGUAUCUUCCUGCAAUUAACAAAUAAGAAAUUGUAAGUUCAAUGAGUAAUUCACUAUUUUGGCUUAGUAUUUCAAAUUCUAUCAGUUUUUGGCUUAGUUUUCUGAAAACUGGUGGAGAUAAUGCAACUUAAUUUGUUGGGGAUGUAUUAUUUCUAGUUCUAUGUGAUUGAAUUUGGUUUUUACCUGUGUUUUUUGUCCUUUAUCCCUUCCUUGCUGCCAGGGUUCGUCUGGAGGUUGCAUUGCCCCUGCUUCUUUCGGUUCCUGUA